This 263-nucleotide long non-coding RNA is filed under the name Mytilus galloprovincialis (Mediterranean mussel). The record is from RNAcentral. Lineage: Eukaryota; Metazoa; Mollusca; Bivalvia; Mytilida; Mytilidae.
CCUUGGUCUAUGUGCAUAUUAAACAAAGGACACAGAUGGAUUCAUGACAAAUUUGUGUUUUGGUGUUGGUGAUGUGUUUGAAGAUCUUACUUUAUUAAACAAUCUUGCUACUUACAAUGAUCUCUAUCUAUAUUGAAAUUGGCCCAGACGUGACAGUGGAAAAUAUUUUGUAAAAAUUGUUAAAAAUUUACAAAAUUUAUGAACAUUGUUAAAAAUUGACUAUAUAGGACAAUAACUCCUUAGGGGGUCAAUUGACCACUUUG